AAGUCGUAACAAGGUUUCCGUAGGUGAACCUGCGGAAGGAUCAUUAACACAAGUAAAAAAACAUUUUACAACACCCUAUUAUGAAUUUAAAUUUUUUAAUUUUAAUUUUUUUUAUAAAACUACAUUUAAUUUAUUUGACUAACAUUUUUUAAUUAAUUUAUUUAAAAUUUUAUAAAACAACUCUUAACAACGGAUAUCUUGGCUCUC
Molecule: unclassified non-coding RNA, 207 nt
Filed under: fungal sp.
Lineage: Eukaryota; Fungi
Description: partial internal transcribed spacer region
Rfam family: Eukaryotic small subunit ribosomal RNA (bases 1-46)
Source: RNAcentral